UUCAAUACUGUUCAAUACACGCAAUGGUGUGCACUUUUCUCUUAGUAAGACGUUGUGAUCCAUUAGGAAUCGAGUGUCCAUCUAAUGUUGGAUUCUCAAUGGGCUACCAAUAGGCCGGUAUUGAAGUUCACUCUGACAAACAACACAAUCUUUUCGGUUGGGUAUAUUGUCUUGUGAGCGUAUCGUGUUCUGAUGUAGCUGCCUGAUGGAUUUUAAAGGCCAUAUCAUAGAUGCUUGUCAUCUCCCAAGCAAUUGGGAUUAUUAAUGGAUAUGUGCCCGAUCAACAACGGUUUCAUUUGGGAUACCUUUGGGACCCGUCUUGAAACACGGACCAAGGAGUCUAUCUAGUAUGCGAGUAAAUGGGGGAUUCACAUUAUAUAGAAAACCUAUUUGCGUAAAUAACUUAACUGUAAUUUAAUGGGAUUACGUGUAUAACAAGUGUAUGCACCUCCAUCCCGGAGUAUUUUCAUCACAUAUAUAGGGGCCUUGUGCUCUUAUAUAUAGAAAAUAUAUCAUGAGCAUACUGGACAUGACCSGAAAGAUGGUGAACUAUGCCUGAUCAGGUUGAAGUCAGGGGAAACCCUGAUGGAGGACCGAAGCAAUUCUGACGUGCAAAUCG
RNAcentral lists this ribosomal RNA (619 nucleotides) under Monopelopia sp. NZ10.3.1. RNAcentral's name for it is "eukaryotic LSU rRNA". It matches the Rfam family "Eukaryotic large subunit ribosomal RNA", at positions 451 to 900 of the family's 3401-position model. Lineage: Eukaryota; Metazoa; Arthropoda; Insecta; Diptera; Chironomidae. The record is from RNAcentral.